RNAcentral lists this ribosomal RNA (140 nucleotides) under uncultured eukaryote. RNAcentral describes it as "partial 18S ribosomal RNA". It matches the Rfam family "Eukaryotic small subunit ribosomal RNA", at positions 1299 to 1458 of the family's 1831-position model. The record is from RNAcentral.
UGGUGGAGUGAUUUGUCUGGUUAAUUCCGAUAACGAACGAGACCCCGUCCUACUUACUAGACCGAGGAUCCUCUCGUUCUCGCUGUCUUCUUAGAGGGACAACUGGCGUAAAUCUAGCUAUAUGAAAUGGGGCAAUAACA